RNAcentral lists this long non-coding RNA (213 nucleotides) under Gossypium barbadense (sea-island cotton). Its description in RNAcentral is "long non-coding RNA (GBAR_LNC002836)". The record is from RNAcentral. Lineage: Eukaryota; Viridiplantae; Streptophyta; Magnoliopsida; Malvales; Malvaceae.
UACUCGAUAACCUUUUGACCAAUGACUAACAGCAAAAAUAAAAAGGAAAAGAAAAGAAAAAGAACGAAGAAGAAGAAGGUAACGAAGUAGAAGAGAAGAAAAUUAAAAAAAAUCAAAAUAAGAACUAACAAUAAUUAUGAAUUAAAUUCUAGGCAGAUUUCUAACAUUUAACAAAAAUAUUCUUUAUCACCCUCUCCAGAGCUCAAACAUGGG